UCUCAGAACUCCUCCUGAGGCAAAAAGGCGU
RNAcentral lists this non-coding RNA (31 nucleotides) under Rattus norvegicus (Norway rat). The record is from RNAcentral. Lineage: Eukaryota; Metazoa; Chordata; Mammalia; Rodentia; Muridae.